GGUCUUUUCAGACUAGGCAUAUUUGCUGGGCAUAUUAUAUGUGAUUUUCUGAGACAAGGCCCAACUAGAAUUUAGGCCUGUCUGUUCUGUAACAGUACUCUGGCAAGGUACUGAGGGAGUUAAUCUGAUCUAGGAGAGUGUCCAGUGUGCCUUGGAUGCUCAUCAAAUCUUGGUCAAGUGUUUGAUUGUUUUAUUUUCUUGGGGCAACUGUCCAGGCAGUUUAAGCCAAAAAAAAAAAAAAAAAAAAAAAUCAGCUAGCAGAGGGCCAAGACGCAAGGACUAGAGUAACUAGAAUCCAGGUCAAUUAACAAACACUAGAGCUAGCAGGGAGACAGUGAAACAAGAACUGGGAUAAGCAGCCUGAAAAGACACAAAAAUCAAGAGGAAGAGUCCAAAGAAGUUACUGACAGUUGUCCCAUGUUGGCAAGUGGAUACAUAGGUGCCGAGCCAAGGUGGAAGAGUUCUGAACCACUCAUGGCAAUUGAGUCUGAGUGAACCAAUCUGGGAGACCAGGAGGCUGUGGUGCAGGAGACAGAACUGGUGGUGGUGGUGUGGCAGCUGGUUGAGCAGCUUGGGGUUGAUGAACAAGAGGAGGAGGCAGUGUAUGUUGUAUACCUUUGAAUGAUGAUGCAACACAAAAAAGUCAUAUAAGAUGCAGCUGACAAAAACGAGCAGGGAUGGUGGGUACACUGAGGGAGAAAAGCACAGCACCCAGACUUGAGAAUACUAUUACUACACCAGAGGGGAAAAUGCACCAACCCAAAGCUCUGCCUCUCUGUUUCAAGUUGGAUGGUUUUAAAUGAAUCUGAGUCUGAACUGAUGAGAUGAUAUCCAGAUAUUCCUGUUCAUGAAAGAGGUAAAAACAUCACAUUCCAUUAAUACAUGCCUACCCAUGUUUAUAGCAGCACAAGCUAAAUCUUGAAAGAGACCUAUAUGUCCAUCAGAUGAAUGAAUGGGUAAAGAAUAUGUGAUUCUUAUACACAGUGGAGUAUUACUGUGUGACAAAGAAGAAUAAACUUGAGUUAUAUGUAGAAAAACGGUUACACCAUGAUACCAUUAUGCUAAAUGAAAUAAACCAGACACACUCUUAAACAUCACAUGGUUUCUCUU
Molecule: long non-coding RNA, 1110 nt
Filed under: Chinchilla lanigera (long-tailed chinchilla)
Lineage: Eukaryota; Metazoa; Chordata; Mammalia; Rodentia; Chinchillidae
Description: lncRNA (ENSCLAG00000028953.1)
Source: RNAcentral